This 228-nucleotide ribosomal RNA is filed under the name uncultured bacterium. RNAcentral's name for it is "partial 16S ribosomal RNA". It matches the Rfam family "Bacterial small subunit ribosomal RNA", at positions 524 to 752 of the family's 1533-position model. The record is from RNAcentral.
UACGGAGGGUGCAAGCGUUAAUCGGAAUUACUGGGCGUAAAGCGCACGUAGGCGGUUCGUUAAGUCGGAUGUGAAAUCCCCGGGCUCAACCUGGGAAUUGCGAUGGAGACUGCACGGCUAGAGUGUGUCAGAGGGGGGUAGAAUUCCACGUGUAGCAGUGAAAUGCGUAGAUAUGUGGAGGAACACCGAUGGCGAAGGCAGCCCCUGGGAUAACACUGACGCUCAUGC